CUGGUUAAAUACUCACCCCCUAAAUACUCACCCCCAACACAACAGAAGCCAUAUGGGUGGAGCUGUUCUCUUCAUGUGGCCUAUGGUCAUUUAUUUCUCCACUCACAAGUGGCCUCUAACAUAAUUGGUUAAGUCUCUUUUCCAAGCCCCGAACACCCUGGUUGGUUAGCAUUUGUCUGCAGGCUGGAAUGGUAUCUUACAUCCCCUUCUCUUAAUACAGAGCAGCAGACUUUAAUUUGAACCAUAUGCCUGUCUUCUAGGGAUGGUUUAAAUGCCAGAGCUUUACUAUCCAGUCUGAGACUUGAAAUCCUUUGUUCUAGGCAAGAUCAGGAGCCUGGGGCUAUAUGGGGCAGUGAUACUGUGGCCCUAAAAGGAAGUACAUCAUCAAAGGGGUGUGUCUGUGUGGUAAGGGGAAAGAGGCAACGGGUGGCAUGAAUUUAAAA
RNAcentral lists this long non-coding RNA (443 nucleotides) under Bos taurus (domestic cattle). RNAcentral describes it as "long non-coding RNA NONBTAT006881". Lineage: Eukaryota; Metazoa; Chordata; Mammalia; Artiodactyla; Bovidae. The record is from RNAcentral.